This 77-nucleotide transfer RNA is filed under the name Alcaligenaceae bacterium. Its description in RNAcentral is "tRNA-Pro". It matches the Rfam family "tRNA". Rfam says of the family: Transfer RNA (tRNA) molecules are approximately 80 nucleotides in length. Their secondary structure includes four short double-helical elements and three loops (D, anti-codon, and T loops). The record is from RNAcentral. Lineage: Bacteria; Pseudomonadati; Pseudomonadota; Betaproteobacteria; Burkholderiales; Alcaligenaceae.
CGGGGCGUAGCGCAGCCUGGUAGCGCACCUGCAUGGGGUGCAGGGGGUCGUAGGUUCAAAUCCUACCGUUCCGACCA